RNAcentral lists this small nuclear RNA (164 nucleotides) under Tupaia belangeri (northern tree shrew). RNAcentral describes it as "U1 spliceosomal RNA (ENSTBEG00000019122.1)". It matches the Rfam family "U1 spliceosomal RNA". Rfam says of the family: U1 is a small nuclear RNA (snRNA) component of the spliceosome (involved in pre-mRNA splicing). Its 5' end forms complementary base pairs with the 5' splice junction, thus defining the 5' donor site of an intron. There are significant differences in sequence and secondary structure between metazoan and yeast U1 snRNAs, the latter being much longer (568 nucleotides as compared to 164 nucleotides in human). Lineage: Eukaryota; Metazoa; Chordata; Mammalia; Scandentia; Tupaiidae. The record is from RNAcentral.
AUACAUACCUGGCAGGGGAGAUACCAUGAUCAUGAAGGUGGUUUUCCCAGGGCGAGGCUUAUCCAUUGCACUCUGGAUGUGCUGACCCCUGCAAUUUCCCCAAAUGUGGGAAACCCGACUGCAUAAUUUGUGGUAGCGGGGGACUGCAUUCGCACUUUCCCCUG